This 649-nucleotide ribosomal RNA is filed under the name uncultured Actinomycetes bacterium. Its description in RNAcentral is "bacterial SSU rRNA". It matches the Rfam family "Bacterial small subunit ribosomal RNA", at positions 229 to 888 of the family's 1533-position model. The record is from RNAcentral. Lineage: Bacteria; Bacillati; Actinomycetota; Actinomycetes.
AUUCGCGGCCUAUCAGCUUGUUGGUGAGGUAAUGGCUCACCAAGGCGUCGACGGGUAGCCGGCCUGAGAGGGUGACCGGCCACACUGGGACUGAGACACGGCCCAGACUCCUACGGGAGGCAGCAGUGGGGAAUAUUGCACAAUGGGCGGAAGCCUGAUGCAGCAACGCCGCGUGAGGGAUGACGGCCUUCGGGUUGUAAACCUCUUUUAGCAGGGAAGAAGCGAAAGUGACGGUACCUGCAGAAAAAGCGCCGGCUAACUACGUGCCAGCAGCCGCGGUAAUACGUAGGGCGCAAGCGUUAUCCGGAAUUAUUGGGCGUAAAGAGCUCGUAGGCGGUUUGUCGCGUCUGCUGUGAAAUCCCGAGGCUCAACCUCGGGUCUGCAGUGGGUACGGGCAGACUAGAGUGCGGUAGGGGAGAUUGGAAUUCCUGGUGUAGCGGUGGAAUGCGCAGAUAUCAGGAGGAACACCGAUGGCGAAGGCAGAUCUCUGGGCCGUUACUGACGCUGAGGAGCGAAAGGGUGGGGAGCAAACAGGCUUAGAUACCCUGGUAGUCCACCCCGUAAACGUUGGGAACUAGUUGUGGGGUCCAUUCCACGGAUUCCGUGACGCAGCUAACGCAUUAAGUUCCCCGCCUGGGGAGUACGGAAU